RNAcentral lists this long non-coding RNA (781 nucleotides) under Dromaius novaehollandiae (emu). RNAcentral's name for it is "lncRNA (ENSDNVG00000009578.1)". Lineage: Eukaryota; Metazoa; Chordata; Aves; Casuariiformes; Dromaiidae. The record is from RNAcentral.
AGAGGCAAAAAGCCAGAGCAACACACGCAUGGGUUGGUAGCUGAGCAAGUUAGGAUACUGAGAACAUGGUACACUAACGCUCUAGAGUCGAUAAAUGCAGGGUAAAACGGAAAAUUUCUGCCCUGAAAGCUCUGAGCAAGCAGUGGCCCUUUCAGCAGACUCAUUUCCACACCUAGAGAAUAGCUGUGCUACUCUGCAAAUCAGCAGGUUGUAGCCUGCAUUGAUCUUCUUUGGGGCUUGCUACAAGACUUGCAACUAUAAGCACAGGGGUUCCUUAUUGAGGAUGUGUACCCUAUUCCUGCGUGGGCUGUGGAUGCUUCUCUGGUGCUGGAGCUGCGUGGCAUGCAUUUGACCACAAUUACUGUAAAGAAGCUGUCCACUCAUUACUGCAAGCUCUGGGGAAAAGGAGGAGUGACAGAAUAUAGACUGAUAUCGGAGAGGUUCCAGAAGUGGCAGUAUGGCAACACACUUGUGGUAUUGCUGACGUGGCUGUAACUGAGCAGCGCUAUCAUGGAAGCCCAGCCUUCAAAGAAUCUUCGUCAUGUUUCAAGAAUCAUGACAGUUGCUAAUUUUAGAAAACUGUCAGUGAAGCACUUACCAGCUCUGCUGAAUGAAACGCUCGAACUUUGGUUUCAUCCCUUAGUAAUUAAUUCCAGAAGUUAGCCUGAGUAAGAGUAAAACCAAACCUGCUCCUGAACAGGACAAUGGCUGCGUGGAAAGAGACUCCCUUUCCUGUUUUAGAGCUCCAGGAGGGUACCUGAACAUACCUGGCAUCCCUAUU